RNAcentral lists this ribosomal RNA (937 nucleotides) under uncultured archaeon. Its description in RNAcentral is "bacterial SSU rRNA". It matches the Rfam family "Archaeal small subunit ribosomal RNA", at positions 8 to 921 of the family's 1478-position model. The record is from RNAcentral.
UUGAUCCUGCCGGACCCUACUGCUAUCGGGGUGGGACUUAAACAGGCGAGUCGAACGACUCCAAGCCAUGAUGGAGACGUGGCACACGGCUCAGUAACACGUGGCUAACCCACCCUCGGGACGGAGACAACCCCGGGAAACUGGGGCUAAUCCCCGAUAGGCGAAGACCCCUGGAAUGGGUCCUCACCCAAAAGGGGUUAAGGUCAUGCUUCCUAACCUCGCCCGAGGACGGGGCCGCGGCCGAUCAGGUAGUUGGUGAGGCAACGGCUCACCAAGCCUAUAACCGGUACGGGCCGCGGGAGCGGGAGCCCGGAGAUGGGCACUGAGACAAGGGCCCAGGCCCUACGGGGCGCAGCCGUUGCGAAAACUCCGCAAUGCACGAAAGUGUGACGGGGCUACCCCGAGUGCCGUCCGCUGAGGAUGGCUUUUCUCUGCUGUAAGGAGGCGGAGGAAUAAGGAGAGGGCAAGUCUGGUGUCAGCCACCGCGGUAAUACCAGCUCUCCGAGUGGUAGGGAUGAUUAUUGGGCUUAAAGCGUCCGUAGCCGGCCUUUCAAGUCUCUCGUUAAAUCCAGCGAUUCAAUCGUUGGACUGCGGGAGAUACUGUUUGGCUAGGGGGCGGGAGAAGCCGACGGUAUUCUCAGGGUAGGGGUAAAAUCCUAUAAUCCUGGGAAGACCACCAGUGGCGUAGGCGGUCGGCUAGCACGCGCUCGACGGUGAGGGACGAAAGCUGGGGAGCGAACCGGAUUAGAUACCCGGGUAGUCCCAGCUGUAAACGAUGCGGGCUAGGUGUUGGAGCGGCUACGAGCCGCUUCAGUGCCGCAGGGAAGCCAUUAAGCCCGCCGCCUGGGGAGUACGGCCGCAAGGCUGAAACUUAAAGGAAUUGGCGGGGGAGCACCACAAGGGGUGAAGCUUGCGGUUUAAUUGGAUUCAACGCCGG